This 673-nucleotide ribosomal RNA is filed under the name uncultured Vibrionaceae bacterium. RNAcentral describes it as "bacterial SSU rRNA". It matches the Rfam family "Bacterial small subunit ribosomal RNA", at positions 1 to 671 of the family's 1533-position model. The record is from RNAcentral. Lineage: Bacteria; Pseudomonadati; Pseudomonadota; Gammaproteobacteria; Vibrionales; Vibrionaceae.
UAGAGUUUGAUCAUGGCUCAGAUUGAACGCUGGCGGCAGGCUUAACACAUGCAAGUCGAGCGGUAACAGGAAUAGCUUGCUAUUUGCUGACGAGCGGCGGACGGGUGAGUAAUGCUUGGGAAUAUGCCUUAUGGUGGGGGACAACAGUUGGAAACGACUGCUAAUACCGCAUAAUGUCUACGGACCAAAGGGGGGGAUCUUCGGACCUCUCGCCAUUUGAUUAGCCCAAGUGAGAUUAGCUAGUUGGUAAGGUAAUGGCUUACCAAGGCGACGAUCUCUAGCUGGUUUGAGAGGAUGAUCAGCCACACUGGGACUGAGACACGGCCCAGACUCCUACGGGAGGCAGCAGUGGGGAAUAUUGCACAAUGGGGGAAACCCUGAUGCAGCCAUGCCGCGUGUGUGAAGAAGGCCUUCGGGUUGUAAAGCACUUUCAGUUGUGAGGAAAGGUGUGUAGUUAAUAGCUGCAUACUGUGACGUUAACAACAGAAGAAGCACCGGCUAACUUCGUGCCAGCAGCCGCGGUAAUACGAGGGGUGCAAGCGUUAAUCGGAAUUACUGGGCGUAAAGCGUUCGUAGGCGGUUGAAUAAGCAAGAUGUGAAAGCCCAGGGCUCAACCUUGGAACUGCAUUUUGAACUGUUCGACUAGAGUACUGUAGAGGGGGGUAGAAUUUCA